This 443-nucleotide ribosomal RNA is filed under the name uncultured bacterium. RNAcentral's name for it is "partial 16S ribosomal RNA". It matches the Rfam family "Bacterial small subunit ribosomal RNA", at positions 338 to 795 of the family's 1533-position model. The record is from RNAcentral.
CCUACGGGUGGCAGCAGUGGGGAAUAUUGGGCAAUGGGCGCAAGCCUGACCCAGCAACGCCGCGUGAAGGAAGAAGGCUUUCGGGUUGUAAACUUCUUUUCUCAGGGACGAAGCAUGUGACGGUACCUGAGGAAUAAGCCACGGCUAACUACGUGCCAGCAGUCGCGGUAAUACGUAGGUGGCAAGCGUUAUCCGGAUUUACUGGGUGUAAGGGGCGGGUAGGCGGGUACGCAAGUCAGAUGUGAAAACCACGGGCUCAACCUGUGGCCUGCAGUUGAAACUGGGUUUCUUGAGUACUGGAGAGGCAGGCGGAAUUCCUAGUGUAGCGGUGAAAUGCGUAGAUAUUAGGAGGAACACCGAUGGCGAAGGCGGCCUGCUGGACAGCAACUGACGCUGAGGCGCGAAAGCGUGGGGAGCAAACAGGAUUAGAUACCCCAGUAGUC